This is a long non-coding RNA of Oncorhynchus nerka (sockeye salmon), 2486 nucleotides long. RefSeq lists it as uncharacterized. The record is from RefSeq and is a predicted model, not a curated record. The transcript is spliced from 2 exons. NCBI's taxonomy places the organism in Eukaryota, Metazoa, Chordata, Actinopteri, Salmoniformes, Salmonidae.
UAACAUAAUAUUCAGUGCCGUCUAAUUUGAGUAUAAUGAAGUCUGUUUCUUGUGAUGUUUUCUGUCCUCAGAUACAGAGAGCUGUGAAAGCCUGUCUGCAGCAGUUCUCAGUCCUGGUUCUGGGGACUCAAAGGGGCACAUUGUUGUUUUCUGUCCUCAGAUACAGAGAGCUGUGAAAGCCUGUCUGCAGCAGUUCUCAGUCCUGGUUCUAGGGACUCAAAGGGGCACAUUGUUGUUUUCUGUCCUCAGAUACAGAGAGCUGUGAAAGCCUGUCUGCAGCAGUUCUCAGUCCUGGUUCUGGGGACUCAAAGAGGCACAUUGUUGUUUUUGCGUCAGCACUGCCCAGCUGAUUCAAAUGAUCUACUCAUCAUCAAGCUUCCAGAGAUACUUUGCAACUGGAGACUCCGUCAAAACGAUUGGCUACAGUUACCGCGUAGGGCACUGCAGGGUUGGGCGCAUUGCUGCGAGUGUUACCAGGGCCAUUUGGGACUGCCUCAUGGGGGAAUUCAGGUGUGUGAAGGCUACCUGUGUCCUGCAUAACUUCAUGAGGAUGGACACGAGGACAAGGAGAGGAUCUGCAGCUCAAAUUUUUUUGUUCAGUAUAGAUCCUCUAUGAGGCUGUGCAGGGAUCCAGAUUGUGGAUUUAAGAGAAAAUAGGAUUUGUAAGCGUACAAUGACACAUUUGUUUUUAAGUCUGGGAUUUUCUAGCCCCUUGAUAUUAUUGUUGGAUCUGAUUUUAAUGGCCAUAAUAAAUAGAUAUGCUGAUAGGGGACAACCUUGUUUUACUCCUCUUGACAGUUGAAUACUUUCUGAGAAGUAGGCAUUUUUUUUUACUAGUUUACACCUGGGGUUACUAUAUAUGUAGUGAAUCCUUACCACUGCUACACCUGGCUAUCAGCGGAGCCUUGUCUGGCUGCAAAACGGUUUAUUCAGCCUCAUUUACUGCCUUUAAAAAAAAACAUAGCUCAUAUGGCUGACUUGAUUAAACAAAUGUGGUGCAUAAGAGGCAAUACUUAAUUUCGAUUAAGGCAUUACUGAGAGAGCUAAGACGGACAUAGUCAAUAUAAACAUUUGUUCAGCACUUUUGAAAUGUACAGCGACAGAAUUCCGAACAUGGGCCGUUCUUAGAGUAUUCUUCCUGUACACCAAGUCAGGAAAAACGGCGGCGUAUAAGCAGACAAUGAAAGCUCUUACAAUAUUCAACAAUUACAUUUCUCUAAAACAAGCUAUGGGCUACAUGUGCACCACCAAGUCAGAACAGUUGGCUAAAUUCUGAGGGGGAAAGGCACAUGGGAUAGAACAGCUUACUACACAACAUACACUUCGUAUGACUUUCUUAGCUACAGUAUACAUAUCUCCCUGGCAUAUUACAUCAUUUAUGCAGCAGCAUACAAGACAUGAUUGGACUCCCCUUGAGGCGUGGCCGUCCUUCUUGUGGGUACAUUUUCAUCAAAGUCCGGCAUUCUCUAGAUUUAUGGUGCUUUCAAGAAUCACGAUGACAUCAUUGAUCUUCAUGUCGGAGCUCUAGAAAGAGGCCCGAGUUCCUGACUUGGAAUGAUGACAUCAUUGAUCUUCAUGUCAGAGCUCUAGAAAGAGGCCCGAGUUCCCGACUUGGAAUUCCGAGUUGGAUGACCGUUCAAAACAUAUUUUCCCAGUCGGAGCUCGUUUUUUCAGAGUUCCCAGUUGUCUUGAACUCAAUGAAGUCUGAUAUUUCCCAGUUCCGAGUUUCCAGUUGUUUUGAACUCGGCAGAAGUCAAGCUGGAUUGAAAGCAUGGCCAGUGUAUUCAACCUUUCAUUUUCAUGAAAAUGCUUAUCCUUUACAGCUUGGAAAAUAUACUUUUUCAGAUAGAUGUUAUAAACCCAGACUUGGCCCACACAACCUCUCCACCGAAUAGCAGAAAGGGGAAGCAAAAUAAAUUAUUGCUUUGCGACACUUGCAGUUAGCCAUUGAUUCCUUCCAAACCACUCAUUGUUGAAUUUAUGAUUUACGACUUGUGUAAUGUUUAUGUCCAAUGGCUGAUGAGCAGAGGUACAUUGUAUCUAUAAUUUCUCUUGAUAUGACAAGGAUUGAAAAUGAUUUGCCAGUAGAUUGUCGACGUGAUUCAUGAUGACAACUGCUUUUCUAGCUUGCUAGCUGAGAUUUGUAAGUAUGAUGUUGACAUCAUCUGUCACGUUCUGACCAUCGUUCGUGUGUGUUUUCCUUGUUUUAGUGUUGGUCAGGACGUGAGCUGGGUGGGCAUUCUAUGUUGUGUGUCUGGUUUGUCUAUUUCUAUGUUUGGCCUGAUAUGGUUCUCAAUCAGAGGCAGGUGUUAGUCAUUGUCUCUGAUUGGGAACCAUAUUUAGGUAGCCUGUUUUGUGUUGGGUUUUGUGGGUGAUUGUUCCUGUCUUUGUGUUUGUGGCACCAGAUAGGACUGUUUCGGUUUUUUCACAUUUCUUGUUUUGGAGAUUGUGGUAUUUUCAUCUUUAUUAAAGAUGGACAAAACUAA